RNAcentral lists this long non-coding RNA (656 nucleotides) under Setaria italica (foxtail millet). Its description in RNAcentral is "long non-coding RNA (SITA_LNC006216)". Lineage: Eukaryota; Viridiplantae; Streptophyta; Magnoliopsida; Poales; Poaceae. The record is from RNAcentral.
GACCUCGACCUCCACGUAGGCAACCCCGUCGGCGUGGUACUGCCUGAGGAUUUCAUCAUCCUCCUCCUGCUUCGCCUUCAAGGCGGCGGCGAUCUCGGCGUGUCGUAGGAGGAACUUAUCUCUUCUCUCGGGCUUGUCCUUGUAGCGCUCCCCGAUCCUCUCGGCGGUCAAGGGUUUGGAAGGCCCGGUGAGGGCGCGCCGCGCGCUCCAGGAGCUGGUCGAUGUAGUUCUGAUCCACCUUCACCAGGUUCGUCCAGCUCUCCGUCGCCAUGCCUCUCUCUCUCUCUCUCUAGAAAUCCUGACCCUAGACGUCCAGGGAGAAAGGAGUACGUUAGAUUUAUAGGACUCCAAACCCUAGGAGUACGUUAGAUUUAUAGGACUAAUUUGGCGGAUACAUAGAAAUCCGAUACAAUUUUGUGCAAACUUUAGCAAUAAUAGUUACAGAUCAAACUGUUCCAGCCACGAGAGAAUUUUGGAACUCAAGAGUCAAACUGUUCUUGCUUGUCCUUUUACCACUACGUAUCUCAUCAAUAACCAACAUGUAAGUCUCCCAAUUAAUGAUGAAUAUAAUCCUCAACUGAUCACAGACAACCAUGAAAAUUAACAAAGAAACUUAAUUACUUAGUACUUACUAUGUCGCUGAUGCUCCAAUCUCU